Molecule: long non-coding RNA, 1201 nt
Organism: Trachemys scripta elegans
Lineage: Eukaryota; Metazoa; Chordata; Testudines; Emydidae
Exons: 2
Source: RefSeq, a predicted model, not a curated record
GCAUAGCGUACCUUGUUGAUAAGAUUCCAUAUCCUCUAGUUUUACUGGCUAUACACCAGCCAUUCAGGACCAUGGUAUACAAAAAAUAUACUGAAGGUGGCACUCUCCCCUGCACCAAACACUGGGUAAUUGUCCAGUAGUGAACACUUUGUAGGGCUAUAUAAUCUACUUAGUACCAUUCCACAUGCAUCCUCUUGGCGACAUUUAAAAAAAAUAAUUCACUUCCUGCAGUUUAGUUACUUAUCUCAAAGGAGAGCAAUGGGCUUAUAUCUUUAUAUAUCCUUGAGAAAAGCCUCUUCUGCUUCCAUAAUUUUAUUCAGCCCACUAGGGUGUACAGAUUUUUCUAUUGGCAUUUAUUAAUUGUUUCUGCUAAUGUUCACAAUGUGCUAGGUGCUUUUUGAAUACAAAAGGCGGCACCAUCUAAAGAGUCUGCAAUCCAAGAGUGGCAUGGCAGUGUUCCUGACAGACCAGUGUUGUGAUCCAACAUAUCAUACCUGAUGUUCCUAGCUGUUCUGUAAGAAGAGAUGGGCUCAAACCAAACUCUUACAAUCUUUAGGAAGAAUCACUCAUUACCUGAACUUUAACUGUGCUCUGAGGGUCCUGCACAUGUUCCAGAGUUGCAUCAACAUCCAAUGCCACCACGAGUCCUGAUGUAAACCUCAAAGGGUUAUCAGACUCGCCAGCAGGUUCAAUAAUAGUUGAAGUAGCUCUGUGGAUCUGGGAGGAAAAGGGAAGAGGGUGGGGAGGAGAAAACAAACAUCUAAGAAAACACGAUGUCAACUUUUAGAAAUUCCUGACACUAUCUAAAAAUUAUUCAAGCUCCUUAACUUUUUGAGGACAGUCCUGGAAACACUGUGCAAUAGCUGAAGAAAUAUCCCUCAUGACUAGCCAGCCAAAUAGGCCAUAAAAGCCUCCUGCUCCACCAGGACACAGUUAACCCUGGAACCUUGGGUUGCUCUUCAUUCCUCUAUGGAUUACUGACCUGCUCUGGAAGAGGAAGGUGAAGGAAGGUGCUCUGUCGUAGCGUUGUUUGCAGGAUCUUCACCGCUUCUGAAGGUUUGGAGGUCACCAGUCUGGGCAUUAAGUCCAGCAGUUUAUCCACAAAACUGUCUUGCAUAUGGGGCAGGUCAGAAAUAAAACAUCUGUGCGUGUUAAAAAUAUAUUGAACAAAAGUCAAAUGCCUAUUACAGUCACUCAAUGA